AGCGAACGCUGGCGGCAGGCUUAACACAUGCAAGUCGAGCGGGCGUAGCAAUACGUCAGCGGCAGACGGGUGAGUAACGCGUGGGAACGUACCUUUUGGUUCGGAACAACACAGGGAAACUUGUGCUAAUACCGAAUAAGCCCUUACGGGGAAAGAUUUAUCGCCGAAAGAUCGGCCCGCGUCUGAUUAGCUAGUUGGUAGGGUAAUGGCCUACCAAGGCGACGAUCAGUAGCUGGUCUGAGAGGAUGAUCAGCCACAUUGGGACUGAGACACGGCCCAAACUCCUACGGGAGGCAGCAGUGGGGAAUAUUGGACAAUGGGGGCAACCCUGAUCCAGCCAUGCCGCGUGAGUGAUGAAGGCCCUAGGGUUGUAAAGCUCUUUUGUGCGGGAAGAUAAUGACGGUACCGCAAGAAUAAGCCCCGGCUAACUUCGUGC
RNAcentral lists this ribosomal RNA (436 nucleotides) under uncultured bacterium. Its description in RNAcentral is "bacterial SSU rRNA". It matches the Rfam family "Bacterial small subunit ribosomal RNA", at positions 29 to 508 of the family's 1533-position model. The record is from RNAcentral.